AUGAGAGGGCAAAGUCUGAAGUUAUUGUUGGGUUGUUUUAGGCAAGCUUUCACAUUGAUUCUGGUGCAACAUAAGGUUAAGGCAGUGAAUUUUCUGAGACCUGAUACUGAGACACGGAAAGCUGUCUCUCCUGUUUCCCUCAUCUACACAAGCUGUGACUUAAAGAGCAGAAAAAGCAGUGAGCCUGGUAAGUGGCCAUUAAACCAGACACCUCCUGCCUCUCAAGGAUCAGCACAGCAAAGUAGGACAACAUGGAAUAAAUGUGGCACUCCCACCAGAAAGAUCCAAUAAUGCUUCGGGGAAAAAGAUUUAAAAUGUUCUUUUAAUAAUAAGUCUUGUCGAUUGGUAUUUUUCUCUAUUUAUGAGAGAGACUUUGCCUGCAGGGAAGCUCUUUGCUUGUCUGAGUUCAUCUAAGAAGAUUAAGCUCCAAAAGUUCAUGACUAAAAAGCUCAUCUGCUUUCAUCUUUAUUCCUCACCUGAACACGUAAUCUGAUGAGGGAUUUCUGUAUAAAUAUAUAGAUGGGUUUUGACUUUGGCUGAACUAAGCCCAAGACUUAUCUCCAACUAGCAGGAGGUGGAAACGCUGCUGAGAUGGUAUGUUUGUCAGCAGGAGUUAUAAACUGUUUGUGCACCAGCACAUUGACGUUAUCUAAGGUUUGCCUUCAUAGUCUAUGCCAAUGGGAAAAACGCUAUGAGCAUAACAGGGCCCACUGCAGGAACAUCUCUGACUUAUGUGGGGGCAAGGAGGUUUCUGAUAGCUGUUGAGUUACAUACAUGGUGUCAGUUCCCCGCCCCGCUGUGCGUGCCCUCCUGAUGCGCAAUUCGGCAUAAGCUGGUGUUUGAGAGAAGAUACCUACGUUUGGUGGUUUGUCAGGGUAUGUUGGGGUUGGACAGGCCACAGCAGAUAGUCCUCAGGUGCCUCUGAAGAGCCUGCGUGAUUGUUCUUAUAGCUUGUGGUGCUACUUGGUUCUGUCGUGCCCCCCAGUGCCUCACACCAGAAACAAAAGGGAAACAGGCAGUGGGGUUAAUCCAGGGCUGGCAAUCUACCUCACCAGGCAAGCCGACCUACUGUCCUUGCUGCAUCCCAUGUUGAAUCCCGUCAUUCUUUGC
This 1110-nucleotide long non-coding RNA is filed under the name Anser cygnoides (Swan goose). Its description in RNAcentral is "lncRNA (ENSACDG00005016232.1)". The record is from RNAcentral. Lineage: Eukaryota; Metazoa; Chordata; Aves; Anseriformes; Anatidae.